Molecule: ribosomal RNA, 729 nt
Filed under: uncultured Rhabdolaimus
Lineage: Eukaryota; Metazoa; Nematoda; Enoplea; Enoplida; Rhabdolaimidae
Description: SSU rRNA
Rfam family: Eukaryotic small subunit ribosomal RNA
Source: RNAcentral
AAACGCCCGUAGUUGGAUCAGCGGAUUUGGAGAACGGUCUGCCGAUGGGCUGUACUGUUCUCCUGUCCUAUUUUCUCUAGUUCGCUCUAGGUGCUCUUCACUGAGUGUCUAGAGUGGCUGGAACUUUUACUUUGAAAAAAUUAGAGUGCUCAAAGCAGGCGUCUCAGCCUGAAUAGUGGUGCAUGGAAUAAUGGGAUAGGACCUCAGUUCUAUUUUGUUGGUUUUCGGAACAUGAGGUAAUGAUUAAGAGGGACAGACGGGGGCAUUCGUAUUGCGACGUUAGAGGUGAAAUUCUUGGAUCGUCGCAAGACGAACUACUGCGAAAGCAUUUGCCAAGAAUGUUUUCAUUAAUCAAGGACGAUAGUUAGAGGUUCGAAGGCGAUCAGAUACCGCCCUAGUUCUAACCGUAAACGAUGUCAACCAGCGAUCCGCAGGAGUUAUUCAUGACUCUGCGGGCAGCUUCCGGGAAACCAAAGUUUUUGGAUUCCGGGAAGUAUGGUUGCAAAGCUGAAACUUAAAGGAAUUAACGGAAGGGCACCACCAGGAGUGGAGCCUGCGGCUUAAUUUGACUCAACGCGGGGAAACUCACCCGGCCCGGACACAGUAAGGAUUGACAGAUUGAGAGCUCUUUCUUGAUUCGGUGGGCAGUGGUGCAUGGCCGUUCUUAGUUGGUGGAGUGAUUUGUCUGGUUUAUUCCGAUAACGAACGAGACUCUGGCCUACUAACUAG